Molecule: long non-coding RNA, 299 nt
Organism: Salarias fasciatus (jewelled blenny)
Lineage: Eukaryota; Metazoa; Chordata; Actinopteri; Blenniiformes; Blenniidae
Exons: 3
Source: RefSeq, a predicted model, not a curated record
CCUCCUCCACUCCGCCUCCUCCUCCACUCCACCUCCUCCUCCACUCCGCCUCCUCCUCCUCUCCUCCUGCUCUUGUGUUUGAUGAGAUACGGUGAUUUCUCUUAGGGGAGACGACAGUCCAUCCUAGUGCAGUCCCGUCUUGUUCCCGUCCCACCCCGAGUGUCCAGCACCUCAUUCCAUCCAUUUAUGAUAUUUCACUCUUCUCCCGUGUGAGCGUUAAACGGAGGACCAGCUUUCCUCCCUGGGUUCAGCAGACCCCGGUGUGAAAACUGAAGGGGGAGGCGGAGGCGGAGGCGGAG